This 418-nucleotide ribosomal RNA is filed under the name uncultured bacterium. RNAcentral's name for it is "bacterial SSU rRNA". It matches the Rfam family "Bacterial small subunit ribosomal RNA", at positions 355 to 786 of the family's 1533-position model. The record is from RNAcentral.
UGGGGAAUAUUGCACAAUGGGGGAAACCCUGAUGCAGCAACGCCGCGUGAAAGGAAGACGGUUUUCGGAUUGUAAACUUCUUUUCUUAGUGAAGAAGCAAGUGACGGUAGCUAAGGAAUAAGCAUCGGCUAACUACGUGCCAGCAGCCGCGGUAAAUACGUAGGAUGCGAGCGUUAUCCGGAAUUACUGGGUGUAAAGGGAGCGCAGGCGGGACUGCAAGUUGGAUGUGAAAUACCGCAGCUUAACUGCGGAGCUGCAUCCAAAACUGUAGUUCUUGAGUGGAGUAGAGGCAAGCGGAAUUCCGAGUGUAGCGGUGAAAUGCGUAGAUAUUCGGAGGAACACCAGUGGCGAAGGCGCUUGCUGGGCUCUAACUGACGCUGAGGCUCGAAAGUGUGGGGAGCAAACAGGAUUAGAUACC